RNAcentral lists this long non-coding RNA (666 nucleotides) under Sipha flava (yellow sugarcane aphid). Its description in RNAcentral is "uncharacterized LOC112686283, transcript variant X1". Lineage: Eukaryota; Metazoa; Arthropoda; Insecta; Hemiptera; Aphididae. The record is from RNAcentral.
CAAUACAUAUGUAGUCGUUUACUGUCCUCGCUACACAACGAACUAUUAUUUACUAGUUCACUAUAAUAAAUUUCCGCAUGAAGUACUCUCUUCUUAUUUACAACACACUUCGAUAUUUAGUUUUCUCAUGCAUAAAAGUAGUAUUAAUGUGUAUAAACUAUACGUGUAGAAUACAUUUAAAAUUAUCUGCAUUCCGAUUGCAUUUAGUUCACUUUCUUACAACUUUUAUAGCUUAUCAACAUUUACCGUACAAUAAUGUUUAGUUCACAUGAACAAAAAAUUUAUAAUUAUGUUUCUUUUUCAAAAUAAGAAUAUAUAUAAUUUGUGUUACGUGUUCAAUAAACAAAAUGGUUAUUUUAGAGACUAAGGACAAAACAGAGAGAAGAAUAAUAAUGAAGAGGUAUACUAUCAUGUGAUGCAACCCUCUAAUAAUGACUUAUUUACAUCAUAUAUUAGAUGGAACGGAGUACCUAUAAGAGUGGAUUAAAGAGGAUGAAAGAGGAGAAACUAAAAUAUUUAGGCGUGAAGUUGUUUGAAAUACACGGGAGGAGAGGUGCUGAUGUGAUGACUCGAAAAUAUAUAGAUUGGUACGAAUUUAUGAAGUUGUAUAUUUAACUAAAUUAUAUAAUGAGUACUUCAAUAAAUUAUACAUAUAAACAUUAUAAU